GAAUCUGGCUCUAGGUCUGGGACAACCACUGGAAACGGUGGCUAAUACCGGAUGUGCCUGUGGGUGAAAGGUUAACUGCCUGGAGAUGAGCUCGCGUCUGAUUAGCUAGUUGGUGGUGUAAGGGACUACCAAGGCGACGAUCAGUAGCUGGUCUGAGAGGAUGAUCAGCCACACUGGAACUGAGACACGGUCCAGACUCCUACGGGAGGCAGCAGUGGGGAAUUUUCCGCAAUGGGCGAAAGCCUGACGGAGCAAUACCGCGUGAGGGAGGAAGGCUCUUGGGUUGUAAACCUCUUUUCUCAAGGAAGAAUGAUGACGGUACUUGAGGAAUCAGCAUCGGCUAACUCCGUGCCAGCAGCCGCGGUAAUACGGAGGAUGCAAGCGUUAUCCGGAAUGAUUGGGCGUAAAGCGUCCGUAGGUGGCUGUGUGUGUCUAUUGUUAAAGAGUUUGGCUCAACCAAAUAAGGGCGGUAGAAACUACACAGCUAGAGUGCGUUCGGGGCAGAGGGAAUUCCUGGUGUAGCGGUGAAAUGCGUAGAGAUCAGGAAGAACACCGGUGGCGAAAGCGCUCUGCUAGGCCGCAACUGACACUGAGGGACGAAAGCUAGGGGAGCG
This 614-nucleotide ribosomal RNA is filed under the name Hapalosiphon sp. 7-SKD-2014. Its description in RNAcentral is "bacterial SSU rRNA". It matches the Rfam family "Bacterial small subunit ribosomal RNA", at positions 122 to 770 of the family's 1533-position model. Lineage: Bacteria; Bacillati; Cyanobacteriota; Cyanophyceae; Nostocales; Hapalosiphonaceae. The record is from RNAcentral.